RNAcentral lists this ribosomal RNA (225 nucleotides) under uncultured marine eukaryote. RNAcentral describes it as "partial 18S ribosomal RNA". It matches the Rfam family "Eukaryotic small subunit ribosomal RNA", at positions 1205 to 1456 of the family's 1831-position model. The record is from RNAcentral.
GCGGGAAAACUUACCAGGACCAGACAUGAGAAGGAUUGACAGACUGAUCGCUCUUUCUUGAUAUUAUGGGUGGUGGUGCAUGGCCGUUCUUAGUUCGUGGAGUAAUCUGUCAGGUUAAUUCCGUUAACGAACGAGACUUUAACUUGCUAAUUAAAAAGAAUAUUGUAUAUUCUUUUCUAUUAGAAGGACCAUGAGCAUAUAACUCAAGGAAGCGUGAGGCAAUAA